AGAGAGGAUGGAACUGGUGUUUCGGCCGGUCUUCAAAACCGGUAAUAGGCAGCUAACACUGUCUAUGGCAGGUUCGAUUCCUGCCCUCUCUGCCA
Molecule: transfer RNA, 95 nt
Filed under: Candidatus Cloacimonadota bacterium
Lineage: Bacteria; Pseudomonadati; Candidatus Cloacimonadota
Description: Candidatus Cloacimonetes bacterium tRNA-Sec
Rfam family: Selenocysteine transfer RNA
Source: RNAcentral